ACGGACAGCCCAUUCCCUCAAACACGGAUAGCCCACUCAUGCACACCACUCACGUGGACCAAGCCAAGCGUAUGGGCCCGCCAAAGUGCUUCAUCAACUCCAGCACAUGGACACUUGCACGGACCGCACCUUCACCGUGGGCCAAAGCGCCUCAACAUCACAUGUGGCCAGCACUUCAACACACGCACAUGGCCCACACUCCCACUCCAUCAACUCUAGCACUUGGACACAUGCACAUGGCCCAUUCCCGCACAUUCACGCGCACGUGGACCAAGCUCCCGCA
Molecule: long non-coding RNA, 283 nt
Filed under: Manihot esculenta (cassava)
Lineage: Eukaryota; Viridiplantae; Streptophyta; Magnoliopsida; Malpighiales; Euphorbiaceae
Description: long non-coding RNA (MESC_LNC008019)
Source: RNAcentral